RNAcentral lists this ribosomal RNA (925 nucleotides) under uncultured fungus. RNAcentral's name for it is "eukaryotic LSU rRNA". The stretch from base 595 to 925 matches the Rfam family "Eukaryotic large subunit ribosomal RNA", at positions 1 to 324 of the family's 3401-position model. Lineage: Eukaryota; Fungi. The record is from RNAcentral.
GGAAGGAUCAUUACUGAACUGUCGACACGAGUUGUUGCUGGUCCUUGAAAGGGGGCACGUGCACGCUCUGUUUACACAUCCACUCACACCUGUGCACCCUCUGUAGUUCCGUGGCAUCGGGGACUCUGUCCCCUUGCCGUGGUCCUACGUCUUUACACACACACACCGUAAUACAGUCUCAUGGAAUGUAUGUCGCGUUUAACGCAAUACAAUACAACUUUCAGCAACGGAUCUCUUGGCUCUCGCAUCGAUGAAGAACGCAGCGAAAUGCGAUAAGUAAUGUGAAUUGCAGAAUUCAGUGAAUCAUCGAAUCUUUGAACGCACCUUGCGCCCUUUGGCUAUUCCGAAGGGCAUGCCUGUUUGAGUAUCAUGAACACCUCAACUCUCAUGGCCUGCCAUGAUGAGCUUGGAUUUUGGGGGUCUUGCCGGCGAAACCGUCGGCUCCUCUCAAACAAAUCAGCUUGCCAGUGUUUGGUGGCAUCACAGGUGUGAUAACUAUCUACGCUUGUGGUUCUCCACCAGGUAACCUUCAGCAAUGGAGGUUCGCUGGAGCUCACAGACGUCUCUCCUCAGGGAAGACAGCCUUUGAACGUUUGAUCUCAAAUCAGGUAGGACUACCCGCUGAACUUAAGCAUAUCAAUAAGCGGAGGAAAAGAAACUAACAAGGAUUCCCCUAGUAACUGCGAGUGAAGCGGGAAGAGCUCAAAUUUAAAAUCUGGCGUGCCUCUGGUCGUCCGAGUUGUAGUCUGGAGAAGCGUUUUCCGUGUUGGACCGUGUACAAGUCUCUUGGAACAGGGCGUCAUAGAGGGUGAGAAUCCCGUCUUUGACACGGACUACCAAUGCUUUGUGAUGCGCUCUCAAAGAGUCGAGUUGUUUGGGAAUGCAGCUCAAAAUGGGUGGUAAAUUCCAUCUAAAGCUAAAUAUA